Molecule: ribosomal RNA, 253 nt
Filed under: uncultured bacterium
Lineage: Bacteria
Description: partial 16S ribosomal RNA
Rfam family: Bacterial small subunit ribosomal RNA
Source: RNAcentral
UACAGAGGGGGCAAGCGUUGUUCGGAAUUACUGGGCGUAAAGGGCGCGUAGGCGGCCUUCUAAGUCGAACGUGAAAUCCCCGGGCUCAACCCGGGAACUGCGUCCGAUACUGGAAGGCUUGAAUCCGGGAGAGGGAUGCGGAAUUCCAGGUGUAGCGGUGAAAUGCGUUGAUAUCGACCGGAACUCCGGUGGCGAAGGCGAGGUGCUGGGUCCUUUCUGACGCUGAUGCGCGAAAGCCAGGGGAGCAAACGGG